This 513-nucleotide ribosomal RNA is filed under the name uncultured bacterium. Its description in RNAcentral is "partial 16S ribosomal RNA". It matches the Rfam family "Bacterial small subunit ribosomal RNA", at positions 28 to 523 of the family's 1533-position model. The record is from RNAcentral.
GAUGAACGCUGGCGGCGUGCCUAAUACAUGCAAGUCGAGCGAACAGACGAGGAGCUUGCUCCUCUGACGUUAGCGGCGGACGGGUGAGUAACACGUGGAUAACCUACCUAUAAGACUGGGAUAACUUCGGGAAACCGGAGCUAAUACCGGAUAAUAUAUUGAACCGCAUGGUUCAAUAGUGAAAGACGGUUUUGCUGUCACUUAUAGAUGGAUCCGCGCCGCAUUAGCUAGUUGGUAAGGUAACGGCUUACCAAGGCAACGAUGCGUAGCCGACCUGAGAGGGUGAUCGGCCACACUGGAACUGAGACACGGUCCAGACUCCUACGGGAGGCAGCAGUAGGGAAUCUUCCGCAAUGGGCGAAAGCCUGACGGAGCAACGCCGCGUGAGUGAUGAAGGUCUUCGGGUCGUAAAACUCUGUUAUUAGGGAAGAACAAAUGUGUAAGUAACUAUGCACGUCUUGACGGUACCUAAUCAGAAAGCCACGGCUAACUACGUGCCAGCAGCCGCCGCGG